GAUUAACGCUGGCGGCGUGCAUAACACAUGCAAGUCGAACGAUGAAACUUAAAUGAUUUCUUCGGAAUGAACUUAAGUGGAUUAGUGGCGGACGGGUGAGUAACGCGUGAGUAACCUGCCUUACACAAGGGGAUAGCCGUUGGAAACGACGAAUAAUACCCUAUGAAACUAUCACUUCGCAUGAAGUGAUGGUCAAAGUGUUAGCGGUGUAAGAUGGACUUGCGUCUGAUUAGCUAGUUGGUGAGAAAAAAGCCCACCAAGGCAACGAUCAGUAGCCGGCUUGAGAGAGUGUACGGCCACAUUGGGACUGAGACACGGCCCAGACUCCUACGGGAGGCAGCAGUGGGGAAUUUUGCACAAUGGUGGAAACCCUGAUGCAGCGACGCCGCGUGAUUUAGAAGGCCUUCGGGUUGUAAAAAUCUUUUGUAUAGGAAGAAAAUGACAGUACUAUACGAAUAAGGUCCGGCUAAUUACGUG
Molecule: ribosomal RNA, 477 nt
Filed under: uncultured bacterium
Lineage: Bacteria
Description: partial 16S ribosomal RNA
Rfam family: Bacterial small subunit ribosomal RNA
Source: RNAcentral